This 1903-nucleotide unclassified non-coding RNA is filed under the name Leishmania donovani. RNAcentral's name for it is "gene:LdHU3.25.2390(CDS-product:WD_domain_G-beta_r epeat_putative)". Lineage: Eukaryota; Euglenozoa; Kinetoplastea; Trypanosomatida; Trypanosomatidae. The record is from RNAcentral.
CGGCACACACACACGUCUCACAACAGGCAGACGUACUCCCCUCUCCUUCCUCCCCCCAAGACCCGAAAUCCAAAAUCGCACUCACGAAACGACCGCAACUGCCUUGGAUGUUCCCCACGGAUCGACCCCCCACGCCAGCGGACAUGGCCCGGCUGCAGGCUUUCGGAGCCGAAGGCCGGGCUGAGGCAGAGCUGGCGACGGACGUGUACCUGCAUUCCCUCAUGAAGCGCCGCAGCGACAGCGUCGCGGAGCUUCUCGCGCUGUACACGAGCCCAGAGGACGCUCGCAAGGCGUACCCCGACCCGCCACCCUCACUGCUUCAAGUCACUGAUGACGCAUCCUCGGCUAACACAGAGAAGGCAUCGGAGGCGGCAACGGGCACCGGUAGUCCGUCCAGCUGCGCCAUGGCGCAGGCGCUAAAGAGGGCUCGGCGCGAGAAUGCUGCGGCGGCGCUCAGCGCAUCCUCCUGUGCUGCCGCCGCAGCGACAGCGGCCGCCCGUCCCGUGCCCGCCGUGGACGGGCCACCGACGGCCGUCUUUGUGAAUGGCGUGGAGCGGGUCAACUACCUCGGCAAGUCCUUCCUAGAGCCGCCGUCGAGCGUGCUGGAGCACGAGCAGUCCACGAAGCAAAAGGCGUGCCAGCCGCCCCGCACCAUGCGCGGCGUGUUCAAGGUACCAGAAGGCUGUGAGGCAGCGCCCAACGCCGCCUCCGCGCCGGCAUCGUCUUCGUUCCUGGCGGACCAUGGCGGUAGCAGCGGCGGUGAGCGACGCUCCGGCAAGGCGUCUGGCGUGCAGCAACUCCGCUGGGCCCCGCCUGCGUACGGCCACCUCCUCUUCUCUGGCGACAUCGGUGGGCAGUGCCGGCUGUGGAACUCGUCGACGCGCCAGCUACUCGCCACCUUCGCGGCGCAUUCGCAGCCAAUCAAAAGCCUGGAGGUGACGACGAACGCAGCGAUCAUGUCGACUGGCUCAGUAGACGGCACGGUGGCCAUGUGGGACGUCGAGGCUGGCGUCUGUACGCACGUGCUAACCAAUCCAGACAGCCUCCCCGUCGUACAGCAUCUUCACCACCCCUCCGAUGAGGCGCACCUUCUGUUGGCGGCCGUGGACAAGAAAGUGGUCCUCUACGACGUGCGCGUUGGCUGCAGUAAGUACCAGCGCGAGUACACGGGGCAUAUGGGCACCAUCUUCAACCUCACGCUGCUGAGCAACGGUAGCAAGAUGCUCACCACCUCGGAGGACAGGACGCUGCGCACUUGGGACUACCGAAGUCCGGUGCAGAUCAAACAGUUUGCCGAUGCGGCGAUGCACGCUAUCACGCACGUUCUGCACCACCCGACGCAGCCGGAGUUCCUCGCCGCGCAGUCGCUCAACAACAAGGUAAUCGUCUUCCGCGACGACGGCGGCGGCCGUCUGCGACUCCUGCACGACUGUGAGUUCACAGGGCACACCAUUUCCGGCACGCGAUGUCAGUUGAGCUUCAGCCACGAUGGCCGGUAUCUGUCGAGCGGCGACAUUGGCGGCAAGCUGUACGUAUGGGACUGGGCAGCGAAGAAGCUGGAGAAGUCCUUCAAGGCCCACGCGCAGAUGCUGGUGUCCCACCUAUGGCACCCGAUCGAGCCCACCAAGGUGGUGACGGCUGCUUGGGAUGGCCACAUCAGAAGCUGGGUGUGACCGUGGAGAGAAUCAUCGGAGACGCGCCUUUGCAUGUGUGCGUGUGCGUUGGCGUAGCGCCACCGCUGUCACCGCCUGUCUCGCGAGAGGUUUUCGGCUUUGCCCGGGGGAAGGGAGAAGGCCCUCGACGCGCCCUGCCUUGCCAUCGUUGUCGUGGUGUCUAAGCCGCCAUCUCUCCGACACACGCACAAGCAUAUAAGCGCGCUGUCCAGCGCCCGAGACAGGGCUGC